CCUACGGGCGGCAGCAGUGGGGAAUAUUGGACAAUGGGCGAAAGCCUGAUCCAGCCAUGCCGCGUGUGUGAAGAAGGCCUUCGGGUUGUAAAGCACUUUCAGUGGGGAAGAAAGCCUUGGGGCUAAUACCCUCGAGGAAGGACAUCACCCACAGAAGAAGCACCGGCUAACUCCGUGCCAGCAGCCGCGGUAAUACGGAGGGUGCGAGCGUUAAUCGGAAUUACUGGGCGUAAAGCGCGCGUAGGCGGUCUGAUAAGCCGGUUGUGAAAGCCCCGGGCUCAACCUGGGAACGGCAUCCGGAACUGUCAGGCUAGAGUGCAGGAGAGGAAGGUAGAAUUCCCGGUGUAGCGGUGAAAUGCGUAGAGAUCGGGAGGAAUACCAGUGGCGAAGGCGGCCUUCUGGACUGACACUGACGCUGAGGUGCGAAAGCGUGGGUAGCAAACAGGAUUAGAUACCUAGUAGC
RNAcentral lists this ribosomal RNA (463 nucleotides) under Vreelandella stevensii. RNAcentral's name for it is "partial 16S ribosomal RNA". It matches the Rfam family "Bacterial small subunit ribosomal RNA", at positions 338 to 794 of the family's 1533-position model. Lineage: Bacteria; Pseudomonadati; Pseudomonadota; Gammaproteobacteria; Oceanospirillales; Halomonadaceae. The record is from RNAcentral.